Molecule: ribosomal RNA, 462 nt
Filed under: uncultured bacterium
Lineage: Bacteria
Description: partial 16S ribosomal RNA
Rfam family: Bacterial small subunit ribosomal RNA
Source: RNAcentral
GACGAACGCUGGCGGCGUGCUUAACACAUGCAAGUCGAACGGAAAGGCCCUUCGGGGUACUCGAGUGGCGAACGGGUGAGUAACACGUGGGUGAUCUGCCCUGCACUUUGGGAUAAGCCUGGGAAACUGGGUCUAAUACCGAAUAGGACCACGCGCUUCAUGGUGUGUGGUGGAAAGCUUUUGCGGUGUGGGAUGGGCCCGCGGCCUAUCAGCUUGUUGGUGGGGUAAUGGCCUACCAAGGCGACGACGGGUAGCCGGCCUGAGAGGGUGACCGGCCACACUGGGACUGCGAUACGGCCCAGACUCCUCCGGGAGGCAGCAGUGGGGAAUAUUGCACAAUGGGCGCAAGCCUGAUGCAGCGACGCCGCGUGAGGGAUGACGGCCUUCGGGUUGUAAACCUCUUUCAAUAGGGACGAAGCGCAAGUGACGGUACCUAUAGAAGAAGCACCGGCCAACUACGUG